Molecule: ribosomal RNA, 405 nt
Filed under: uncultured bacterium
Lineage: Bacteria
Description: bacterial SSU rRNA
Rfam family: Bacterial small subunit ribosomal RNA
Source: RNAcentral
UGAGGAAUAUUGCACAAUGGGCGGAAGCCUGAUGCAGCAACGCCGCGUGGAGGACGACGGCCUUCGGGUUGUAAACUCCUUUUCCGGGGGACGAGCGAGGACGGUACCCUGGGAAUAAGUCUCGGCUAACUACGUGCCAGCAGCCGCGGUAAAACGUAGGAGGCGAGCGUUAUCCGGAUUUACUGGGCGUAAAGCGCACGCAGGUGGGUCUGCAGGUCGGACAUGAAAGCUCCUGGCUUAACUGGGAGAGGUGGUUCGAAACCGCAGGGCUUGAGGUUGGGAGAGGGACGUGGAAUUCCCGGUGUAGUGGUGGAAUGCGUAGAUAUCGGGAGGAACACCAGUGGCGCAAGCGGCGUCCUGGCCCACACCUGACGCUGAGGUGCGAAAGCGUGGGGAGCAAACAGG